GGGCAAUCGUUGGACCUCCUUACCGACGAUAUUUGAAUGGGCAGUGGCCACCCCGAUUGGCUGAAGAAAAAGUAACCAACAGAAAAACCUUUAUUGGCUUGGAACUCAGGGGGGUUAAACGCACCCCCGAAAAAGGUGAGGGCCGGGGGUCAAGUCCACUCCAGGCCACCCAAUUCCUCCGCAUGCUGCGUUAUGCUCACGGUCGUUUGCCCCAGUAAACUUCCCAUUCCUCUGCCUUGCCUGAAAAAGAAUUGACUCGCUCUUAAUCAAGGGAGCAGAUAAACAGAGUUGUCUGAUAGAUUGUCUGGGGGUUUACCUGCCUUGGACGAGCGCCGGCCUUGGUUCCAUCCCGCUUAGCUCCCCCUUCUCCUUCCUGCCUCCAUAACACUCCUGAAUUUAUUGUCGACAGUAUGCUAUUGAGUAUUUUGCUCUUUAACAAUCUGGAACCUUCUGAAAAUUGAAAUGAUGAAUAAUCUGAAGAUUAUUCACGAGUCUCUAUUAAGCGCAAAGCCCAUGAUGGAAACAUCUUCAGGUUGUGAGGUUAAGUGACUAAGCAGGCACGGUGACUGACCUUGGCAGGUGGAUGCCUUGGCA
Molecule: unclassified non-coding RNA, 594 nt
Filed under: Gibbsiella quercinecans
Lineage: Bacteria; Pseudomonadati; Pseudomonadota; Gammaproteobacteria; Enterobacterales; Yersiniaceae
Description: partial may contain 16S ribosomal RNA, 16S-23S ribosomal RNA intergenic spacer, and 23S ribosomal RNA
Source: RNAcentral